UACGUAGGGUGCAAGCGUUAAUCGGAAUUACUGGGCGUAAAGCGUGCGCAGGCGGUUUUGUAAGUCUGACGUGAAAUCCCCGGGCUCAACCUGGGAAUUGCGUUGGAGACUGCAAGGCUAGAAUCUGGCAGAGGGGGGUAGAAUUCCACGUGUAGCAGUGAAAUGCGUAGAGAUGUGGACGAACACCGAUGGCGAAGGCAGCCCCCUGGGUCAAGAUUGACGCUCAUGCACGAAAGCGUGGGGAGCAAACAGG
RNAcentral lists this ribosomal RNA (253 nucleotides) under uncultured bacterium. RNAcentral's name for it is "partial 16S ribosomal RNA". It matches the Rfam family "Bacterial small subunit ribosomal RNA", at positions 524 to 776 of the family's 1533-position model. The record is from RNAcentral.